UACGUAGGGGGCAAGCGUUGUCCGGAUUUAUUGGGCGUAAAGAGCGUGUAGGCGGCUAGAUAGGUCCGUUGUGAAAACUCGAGGCUCAACCUCGAGACGUCGAUGGAAACCAUCUGGCUAGAGUCCGGAAGAGGAGAGUGGAAUUCCUGGUGUAGCGGUGAAAUGCGCAGAUAUCAAGCGGAACACCGGUGGCGAAGGCGGCCUUCUGGACAGUGACUGACGCUGAGACGCGAAAGCGUGGGGAGCAAACAGG
This 253-nucleotide ribosomal RNA is filed under the name uncultured bacterium. RNAcentral's name for it is "partial 16S ribosomal RNA". It matches the Rfam family "Bacterial small subunit ribosomal RNA", at positions 524 to 776 of the family's 1533-position model. The record is from RNAcentral.